Long non-coding RNA from Anser brachyrhynchus (Pink-footed goose), 1170 nucleotides. The record is from Ensembl. NCBI's taxonomy places the organism in Eukaryota, Metazoa, Chordata, Aves, Anseriformes, Anatidae.
AUGCACCUGUGGAUGGAUGGACGGACGGACGGAUGGAUGGAUGCAUGGAUGGAAGGAAGCUCCUCCAGUGCGUGGUCGGCUGCGGAGGUCCCUCGUGUGCCCGGCUGCCCCGCACUGCUCUCAAUAAAUGUUUCGGUAGUGCUCCAUGCAGACGGCUCUUUGGGACCUGCUGGGGGAAGCUGCUGGGCCCAGACCCAGGCUGGGGCAGUGCUGUGUGUCUGCGGGACUGCCCCCUCCUCCUGGCUCGCUGGGCUCCAGCACCAAGGCCACGCGUGCAGCAGGGGGUGCAGUGAGGAUGGAGUAAGGAAGGGGCUUGAGACACGUGCUGCCACGCAGUGCAUGUGCAGAGAGGUCAGCACCCAUUGCACACUGGCUCCUGGGUUUUUUUUCAUGGAGGUGCAGGUGACGGAGCAGCAGGAGGGUCAGGGCUUGGGCAAACAUCUCCCUCUGAAGCAUCCCCAGCCAUGGGGGCUGCAGCUCUUUAUGACACAGGGAUCAGCGGCACUGUCUUUGAAACAGCCUGGAGCUGCCUCGCAUCCGUCCCAGCACCCUGCCUCUGCCCCUCGGAGCUGCUGCUUCCUUCCCUGGGGGGCGGUGGCUGGGCAGGGGGGAGCCGACCUGGGGCAGAGGGCUCAGCACCGCAGGAUGCAGCACAUCCUGUGGAGGAGGUGCAGAAAUCAGCUCCCCAGAGAUGUGAACGCAGGACUUCCCGGGGCCAGGCAGCCACUUUCUGACCCGUUUCUCCCCCAGCUGGCCCAGAGAGACAGCUGGCUGACCCUUGGUGCUGCGGGGGGGCUCCUUGCACACCACAGAUGGCCACCUCUGGCCUUGCACGGCCGUGGGAGGUGCAGGCAAUAUCUGCCAAGCAAAGCCGAGAAGCUGCUGUGGUGCGUGGGCAGCCGCAGGCGUGUCCCUGUCCUCUCCUCGCUUCCCGGGAGCGCCCGCAGGUUCCCAGAACGCCCGCCCACCGGGGACAAGGUUCUGGCACGCCGAGGGCUGUGGUUUGCAGUUGAAUUUUGGGAUAACUGCUUUAAGUCUGGCUCUGCGUGUGCAGAAAGCACCUACCUCCCCCCGGCCCCGGAGCCGGCCCCAGGGGGCCGGGCAGCGCUUGGUGGUGGCUCUCACCCUGCACCCAGACAAUGCGAGCUGUUGCCUUUUGGGAAGCCCUGA